RNAcentral lists this ribosomal RNA (253 nucleotides) under uncultured bacterium. RNAcentral describes it as "partial 16S ribosomal RNA". It matches the Rfam family "Bacterial small subunit ribosomal RNA", at positions 524 to 776 of the family's 1533-position model. The record is from RNAcentral.
UACGUAGGGGGCUAGCGUUGUCCGGAAUCAUUGGGCGUAAAGAGCGUGUAGGCGGCCCGGUAAGUCCGCUGUGAAAGUCGGGGGCUCAACCCUCGAAUGCCGGUGGAUACUGUCGGGCUAGAGUGCGGAAGAGGCGAGUGGAAUUCCUGGUGUAGCGGUGAAAUGCAUAGAUAUGACAUAGAACACCAAUUGCGAAGGCAGCUCACUAAACAGCGAUUGACGCUGAGGCACGAAAGCGUGGGGAUCAAACAGG